UGCAGUCGAGCGGAUGAGUGGAGCUUGCUCCAUGAUUCAGCGGCGGACGGGUGAGUAAUGCCUAGGAAUCUGCCUGGUAGUGGGGGAUAACGUUUCGAAAGGAACGCUAAUACCGCAUACGUCCUACGGGAGAAAGUGGGGGAUCUUCGGACCUCACGCUAUCAGAUGAGCCUAGGUCGGAUUAGCUAGUUGGUGGGGUAAUGGCCCACCAAGGCGACGAUCCGUAACUGGUCUGAGAGGAUGAUCAGUCACACUGGAACUGAGACACGGUCCAGACUCCUACGGGAGGCAGCAGUGGGGAAUAUUGGACAAUGGGCGAAAGCCUGAUCCAGCCAUGCCGCGUGUGUGAAGAAGGUCUUCGGAUUGUAAAGCACUUUAAGUUGGGAGGAAGGGCAGUAAGUUAAUACCUUGCUGUUUUGACGUUACCAACAGAAUAAGCACCGGCUAACUUCGUGCCAGCAGCCGCGGUAAUACGAAGGGUGCAAGCGUUAAUCGGAAUUACUGGGCGUAAAGCGCGCGUAGGUGGUUCAGCAAGUUGGAUGUGAAAGCCCCGGGCUCAACCUGGGAAUUGCAUCCAAAACUACUGAGCUAGAGUACGGUAGAGGGUGGUGGAAUUUCCUGUGUAGCGGUGAAAUGCGUAGAUAUAGGAAGGAACACCAGUGGCGAAGGCGACCACCUGGACUGAUACUGACACUGAGGUGCGAAAGCGUGGGGAGCAAACAGGAUUAGAUACCCUGGUAGUCCACGCCGUAAACGAUGUCGACUAGCCGUUGGGAUCCUUGAGAUCUUAGUGGCGCAGCUAACGCGAUAAGUCGACCGCCUGGGGAGUACGGCCGCAAGGUUAAAACUCAAAUGAAUUGACGGGGGCCCGCACAAGCGGUGGAGCAUGUGGUUUAA
Molecule: ribosomal RNA, 897 nt
Filed under: Pseudomonas citronellolis
Lineage: Bacteria; Pseudomonadati; Pseudomonadota; Gammaproteobacteria; Pseudomonadales; Pseudomonadaceae
Also listed under: 1 other name
Description: bacterial SSU rRNA
Rfam family: Bacterial small subunit ribosomal RNA
Source: RNAcentral